UGCACACCUAGACACAACUGACAACUGCCCUUUUUAUUCCAUUUUUGUCAUUACAGGAAAAGUCUUGCACGAGGAGCAUGUUGAACUCUUGAUGGAGGAAUUCGCAUUCCUGAAAAAAGAAGUGGUGGGGAAAGACCUGCUGAAAGGGUCGCUCCUCUUCACAGCUGGCCCAUUGGAAGAAGAGCGGUUUGGCUUCCCUGCGUUCAGCGGCAUCUCUCGCCUGACCUGGCUGGUCUCCCUCUUUGGGGAGCUUUCUCUUGUGUCUGCCACUUUGGAAGAGCGAAAGGAAGAUCCGUAUAUGAAAAUGACAGUGUGUCUGGAGAC
RNAcentral lists this small RNA (324 nucleotides) under Pongo abelii (Sumatran orangutan). Its description in RNAcentral is "retained intron". Lineage: Eukaryota; Metazoa; Chordata; Mammalia; Primates; Hominidae. The record is from RNAcentral.